AGAGUUCCCUUUCCUCUGUAUAAAAACCUUUAUGGACUUUUCUUGACAUUUAAGAAUAUUGAAGCAAAGAAUGAAGGUCAAUACAAUGGCAUCCAUGACACUUGCUUUAACAGUGCUUGUUGCAGUAUUCUGUGCUACCGUGGCACUGAAGUGUCACAAAUGUACUACCAUCAAUCCAGACCAUCCAACCUGUACCCAGACUGACAUAACCGAGGUGGAGUGUGGUGUCAGUUUCACCCACUGUGCAAGAAUUGUUUUCCACAAACCAGCCUAUGGUGAGGUGAGAAAAUGUGCUACUGAAAAUGAAUGUAAUGUCAAGUCGCAAAGAAGUGUGGUGACGGAAUGCUGCACAACUGAUCUCUGCAACUGACCCAAGCUGGGAGAACCUGACUCACACCUGCAAAUGGAGUAAUAUCAGCAAGGAACAAUUUUGUAAUUGAAUCAACAUACUGAAAACAAUUCUGUUUUCAAUUAAUAGCUAAAAAUGAUUACGUUAUCACAUUUUGUACCUUCCCCUGUAGUCAAAUGAAAAAAAAUGUAUGUCAUUUCUCCAAUUUCUGAAAUGCUGUUAAAAUAUUAUUUUCAUAUCA
Oncorhynchus kisutch (coho salmon) is the source of this 590-nucleotide RNA transcript. It is a transcript of the gene named lymphocyte antigen 6D-like, with no coding region annotated. The record is from RefSeq and is a predicted model, not a curated record. Lineage: Eukaryota; Metazoa; Chordata; Actinopteri; Salmoniformes; Salmonidae. The transcript is spliced from 5 exons.